GAGUAGAUAUAUUAGACAAGAUAACUCGAGUGUAAUGCAAGUGAGUUUCGUUUUUGCAUACAUUAAGUUUAAAGACUGUGUUUUUGAAUUUAAAUGAGGGUGCUAACGAGUGUCGUAUGCAUUUGCUGGCAGCUGCAACAGUUAUGUAAAAUUCUAAAUCGUGCACAUGUUUGCUGGUGGGUAGAGAGUGGCAGCCUUUGCUCUGGCAAGAAUGAAAGGAGAAAAGUAUCUUCAAUAAAUGAAGUGGGGAGACGCUUUAAACGAGACUAAACUUGUUUCGGGG
Long non-coding RNA from Fopius arisanus, 283 nucleotides. RefSeq lists it as uncharacterized. The transcript has 2 exons. NCBI's taxonomy places the organism in Eukaryota, Metazoa, Arthropoda, Insecta, Hymenoptera, Braconidae. The record is from RefSeq and is a predicted model, not a curated record.